This 1052-nucleotide long non-coding RNA is filed under the name Arabidopsis lyrata. RNAcentral's name for it is "long non-coding RNA (ALYR_LNC003348)". The record is from RNAcentral. Lineage: Eukaryota; Viridiplantae; Streptophyta; Magnoliopsida; Brassicales; Brassicaceae.
UUAAUUAACUUCGGCCCAUAAGAUGGAAAUUUGACUGAAUUCAGUAGACAGGCCCAUUUAGUGGCCCAUUGAUGGUGGAAACCCUAGCUAUAAAUAGAAGAGACUCUCUCUCUUCAUUUAUCAUUUCUCUUUUCUUUCUAGAGAAAUCGGCGAAUCUGUAACUAAGUACCAACAACAACAAUGAGAGCCAAGGUAACAUCUUCGUCUUCUCCGAUUCAAUAUUGUUCUUUGUGUUUGAACUCACUAGCGUUAGAUUCAUCGAUUAGAUUAUCUAAGACGCAUUCAUUUAUGGAUACAUAUGAUAUACGUACGUAUAGAGAAAGGUAUAGAUAGAGUUAUAUACUAUAUUGCCUGUGUUAUACGUCUUUAGUAAAGCCGUACAAGAAGAUCUUAGGAUUGUGUUUUUGAUAUUAGAACUAUUAAGAAUUGAUAAUCGAUUUUGCAUCACAUUGCGUCCAAAAGAUAUUUUUGUUCAUAUUUUACAUGUUAAAUUUGGUGUAUUGAGAUUUUGCAAAGGUUAAUCUUGAUUGGAACGAUCUCUGUGCCAUAAAACCCAUUACAGUUUCUUGAAACCGUAGUUCUUAUAGGUUGGGUUAGGUUAGGUUGUAAUAAUCUCUCCAUUUAUUAUGUCCUGUUUCUUUCAUUCUGUGUAUUGUUGUUAUUCAGUAAUAAUGACGACAUUGGUUAUGGUUUUUGGAUAUUAUUGCAGUGGAAGAAGAAGCGUAUGAGGAGAUUGAAGAGGAAGCGUCGAAAGAUGAGACAGCGAUCCAAGUAGAGACCACCAACAACCAAGUUCCUCCCCCUAAUAACUCUCUCGGCUCUCUGUGAUUCUGUUUUGUCUUGAGACUUUCUUUUUAGCAAACAAACCUUUUUCUUUUUAGUAUCGAGUUUUGAACAUUCUGGGAUGUAUGUAAAACUUGCGUUUGUGCUCUUAUCUAUAAUCAAUCACAGAUCCUUUUAUCUUAUCAUCACUGUUUUCAGUAUGGGUGAAGCUUAUUUUUGACUAAUUGUUCAGACAACAAACAAUCUUUUGUUCUGUCAUGAAACUAGAG